RNAcentral lists this ribosomal RNA (164 nucleotides) under Staphylococcus aureus. RNAcentral describes it as "partial 16S ribosomal RNA". It matches the Rfam family "Bacterial small subunit ribosomal RNA", at positions 1 to 159 of the family's 1533-position model. The record is from RNAcentral. Lineage: Bacteria; Bacillati; Bacillota; Bacilli; Caryophanales; Staphylococcaceae.
UUUAUGGAGAGUUUGAUCCUGGCUCAGGAUGAACGCUGGCGGCGUGCCUAAUACAUGCAAGUCGAGCGAACGUACGAGAAGCUUGCUUCUCUGAUGUUAGCGGCGGACGGGUGAGUAACACGUGGAUAACCUACCUAUAAGACUGGGAUAACUUCGGGAAACCG